AUUUGACCUAAUAUUUUGUAAGAAAAAUGUGUAUAAAGUCUAAGGAAUAUGAAAAAAGUAUUUAAAAAAUCGGGUUUUCAACAAGUAUUUCGAUUAACAGCCAGUAUCGGUAGCAUUUAUCGGAAUAUAGGGUAUCGGUAAAAAGUGAUUUAAGCCCAUCUCUAAUAAUAAUAUAAAUAAAUAAACACUUUUUGGUUUUAAUUUUUAAAAAUUUAAAAAGUUAAUUUAAUUUAAUCAGAAUUUACAGUAAAUUGUAGGUAUCCAUAAUAUUAUACUCAUAUUUGUAAACGUAAUAUUGUGCAGAUUUGCCUACUUUACUUCAAAUACAUUACUUGCAUAUAAAUAAACGAAGUAAAUUAAUGAAGUAGGUAUACAGGCUCAUUAUCAAAAUGGAACUUUUAGACGCGUUGUCAGGACUUUUAAAAGGAGAAGCUAAAGUGUACAGCUGUCCCCUUUCGGCCACUUUUAUCUCUUCACAUUAUUCUAUCAACCUUGCCAAAAAAUUAAUAUCUCCUCCCAUGGAAUUAAAUACUUCAAUACGAUGCUGUUUUUUUUUACUUUCAAAAUGUACAACAAUAAAAUAGACGUCGGUUCUUGUGGGUUUUUUUUUUGUUUUCGAAAGGGAUAGCAUAUCCACAAAAUAACUUGAAAUAACAAUAACUGCAAGUGUUAAUAGAU
Cinara cedri is the source of this 678-nucleotide non-coding RNA. The record is from the annotation of a GenBank genome assembly. NCBI's taxonomy places the organism in Eukaryota, Metazoa, Arthropoda, Insecta, Hemiptera, Aphididae.